RNAcentral lists this ribosomal RNA (253 nucleotides) under uncultured bacterium. RNAcentral's name for it is "partial 16S ribosomal RNA". It matches the Rfam family "Bacterial small subunit ribosomal RNA", at positions 524 to 776 of the family's 1533-position model. The record is from RNAcentral.
UACGAAGGUGGCAAGCGUUGUUCGGAUUUACUGGGCGUACAGGGAGCGUAGGCGGUUGGGUAAGCCCUCCGUGAAAUCUCCAGGCUUAACCUGGAAAGUGCAGAGGGGACUGCUCGGCUAGAGGAUGGGAGAGGAGCGCGGAAUUCCCGGUGUAGCGGUGAAAUGCGUAGAGAUCGGGAGGAAGGUCGGUGGCGAAGGCGGCGCUCUGGAACAUUUCUGACGCUGAGUAUCGAAAGCGUGGGGAGCAAACAGG